CGACCUCCCGAGCUCAGUGAUCCUCCCACCUCAGCCUCCUGAGUAGCUGUAACCACAGGCACGUGCUACCAGGCCCAGCUAAUUUUUUUUUUUUUGAGAUGGAGUCUCGCCCUGUUGCCCAGGCUGGAGUGCAGUGGCGUGAUCUCAGCUCACUGCAGCCUCUGCCUCCCAGGUUCACCCCAUUCUCCUGCCUCAGCCUCCUGAGUAGCUGGGAUUACAGGCGCACCACCACAUCCAGCUAAUUUUUGUGUGUGUAUAUAUAUAUAUAUUUUUUUUUAGUAGAGAUGGGGUUUCACCAUGUUGGCCAAGUUGGUCUCAAACUCCCGACCUCAGGUGAUCCACCCACCUCAGCCUCCCAAAGUGCUGGGAUUACAGGCGUGAGCCACUGCACCCAGCCAAUUUUUUAAUUUUUUUAUAGAGAUAGGGUCUUGCCUUGUUGCCCAGGUUGUUCUCAAACUCCUGGGCUCAAGCAAUCCUCCCGCCUUGGCCUCCUAAAGUGCUGGGAUCACAGGCAUGAGCCACUGUGCCUGGCCUGAUUUAAUUCUUCUUCUUCACCUGAUCCAGUUUUCUCCAUGAAGACUUGAGACCAAGUCACAGUAGGUUUGGACCCAAAUGUAUGCUGCUCCUCUCUCCCCAUGUUCUUUGCUUCUGUUCUUAGCCUGGGGUAAAGUCCUCCUUGUCCUGGGCCAGACAUACUGUCAAGAGAAAGCUUGGUAUUGGACUGACUCCAUUUAAAGAACCUUAUUUUAUGAAUCUGUCCCAGGAAAAUAUAGUAACUCGUUAACAGUUUUGAAUGAUUUGUUCUUUGCUUUUUGGCAAAUUUCAGUUUAUCCUUGCUAGAGGGAAAACAAUAAAAUCCACAAGUAAUUCCCAAUUUUCAACCUAGCCCAGCAAUUUAACCUCCUCACUCACUUUGCCAAGGCUACUAAUAAGUAGCUGUGUGCCUGGCCUGCUUUCCUUCUCUCCUCUCCCUGGUCCUGCCCAUUGGCAGGGAGCCUCUUGUGAGUCAUAAGAUGACCAAGAGAUCACACGGCGAGAGACUGAAAGAAAAGCAGCAAAGCCCUGGGUAAUCAAGGCCCUAAACGGAAAGUGUCAGGAUCUUGGGGUAAGUGGCUUUUAUAUCUUUGAAACUGCUCAGUAAUUUUCCAGAGAGAUGUUGGUUGGAACCCAGUGGAGUUGUGCCCCGCCCAUAGUUAAUGCUCAAUAAGUUUAUUAAGUCAAGAAACAAAUUUAGGCUUGGCGAGUCCUGCCUGAUGACAGGUAAACCCAUCCUUAUACAAGAAUGGAUCAUUUACCCACCUCGCUUAGGAAAAAGAGGAGGUUAUCAGGUUGUUAAGAAACGGGGCCAGGUCCAGGGCCAGGGCCGGGCACGGUGGCUCACACCUAUAAUCCCAGUACUCUGGGAGGCCAAGGUGGGUGUAUCACUUGAGGUCAGAAGUUCAAGACCAACCUGGCUAACAAGGUGAAACUGUCUGUACUAAAAAUACAAAAAUUGGCUGGGCACAGUGGCUCACGCCUGUAAUCUCAACACUCAAAACCCCUUCUCAAAAAAAAAAAAAAAAAUUAACUGGAUGUGGUGUCAUGUGCCUGUAACCCCAGCUGCUCGGGAGGCUGAGGCAGGAGAAUCGCUUGAACCCGGGAGGCAAAAGUUGCAGUGAACCAAGAUUGCACCACUGCACUCCAGCCUGGACAACAGACAGACCAAGACUCCGUCUCAAAAAAAAAAAGAAAGAAAAAAAAAGAAUCUGGGCUGGACACAGUGGCUCAUGACUAUAAUCCCAGUACUUUGAGAGGCCGAGGCAGGAGGGUCACUUAACCCCAGGAGUUCAAGACCAGACAUAGUGAGACCCUGUCUCUACAAAAAAUAAAAAAAUUUUUGUAGAUUUUUUAUCUACAAAAAUCUGGGCGUGGUGGUGGAUGCCUGUGGUCACAGCUACUCAGGAGGCUGAGGCAGGAGGAUCACUUGAGCCUGAGAGGUCGAGGCUGCAGUGAGCUGAGAUCGUGCCACUGCACUCCAUCCUGGGUGACAGAAUGCAACCCUAUCUCAAAAAAAAAAAAAAAAAAAAGAACCUGCUAACCUGCUACUCUAGACCCCCUGCCUUGAGGACGGUGGCAUUCACAUUGCAGCUAUUGUGAAAAAUGUCCCCAGAGUUUACAGGCUACAAGCUAACAGUGGCACUCCGACUGGGAGCCCAGAGGGCAGGCUCUAGGAUCCUGAUCAAUGAGAUCUGCUUAUGAAAACAUCUUAAAACCUGGACUACAGAAAAAAGCACUCUUGCUUCCAUACUGUUCAGAUUAUGUAUGCAAAACGAGUAAGAACUGCCCAGCCAGUGUGCCUCUCUGCUUAAUAUAGAGCUUAGAAGUCCUCUAAUUCUGUUUUGUUUUGUUUUCUGAGACAGGGUCUCACUUUGUUGCCCAGGCUGGAAUGCAGUGGUAUGAACAUGGUUUACUGCAGCCUCGACCUCCUGCGCUCAAGCGAUCCUCCCACCUCAGCCCACAGAGUAGCAGGGACUACAGGCACAUGCCACCAUGAGGUUUUGCCAUGUUGCGCAGACUGGUCUUGAACUCCUGGGCUCAAGCAGUCCUCUGGCCUCAGCCUCCCAAAGUGCUGGGAUUACAGGUGUGAGUCAGAAGUUCCCUAAUUCUGAUAUGUGUGGUCACUACGCAGUUCUGUGCUUUGCUUCCAAAGGACUGAUCACCUUGAAGAACCAGAAUAUAAAGAGGUUACGUUGGGGGAACAUUACCAUUUAUUUAUUGGCUUACUCUGAAAGACAAGUAAGUUAGUGCAGAAUCACAACGUUGGCUCAUUAUUGGUAUCAUGGGCAGCCUGCAAUGUUUGCUCAUCAUAUCUAUCUAGUUAUAUAUUGAUUAUUUACAUUCUGCUUUGUUCAAUAAAUAAUUUGAAAGCAUACAUCCAUUAAAAACUUCAGGGCCGG
This 2936-nucleotide long non-coding RNA is filed under the name Homo sapiens (human). Its description in RNAcentral is "non-protein coding lnc-IAH1-2:7". Lineage: Eukaryota; Metazoa; Chordata; Mammalia; Primates; Hominidae. The record is from RNAcentral.